Bradysia coprophila is the source of this 1532-nucleotide long non-coding RNA. The record is from RefSeq and is a predicted model, not a curated record. Lineage: Eukaryota; Metazoa; Arthropoda; Insecta; Diptera; Sciaridae.
UUUGUUUUGUUUCUAUUUAUUGGUUUAGUUUACCGUAUCUGCCGAAAUUACUUUUUAUUUGUUAUCAUCGAAAAAUGUGAUAACAAUAUGAAGGCGGAGAGGUGUACAAACAUAAGCUCAAUUUAGAUACCUUCCCGUGUCGGAUGAUAUUUGGACGUGAUCGAUUUUAGAGUUUCCGAGCUGUGAUCAAAUUCGAAGUGAAGCAAUACAAGCUAAUCCCGAGAAAUCGUAAAUGUCCUUUGAUUUGAGUGUCGCAAAAUUUAGAUGCUGUGAUGGUGUGUUGCUGAUAUUUUUUUUUAAUUCUUUAGCUCGAGUAUUUAGUACAUGUUUCGGUUGGACACUGUUUUGUUUUCGAUGACAACCUACGGACAGGGAUUUUCGGGAUGCAGUUUCUCGUAUGGUUUCGGUUGGACACUUUUGUUUUCAUAAAUCAAUUAUCAAUUCGAUGACAACCUACACCUAUACUUUGGGAUGUCGUUUCUCGUAUGGUUUCGGUUGGACACUUUAGUUUUCAUAAAUCAAUUCGAUGACAACCUACGGACAGGGAAUACUUACCAUUAUGUUGGUUGGCUAAGCAGUUUCUCAACAGGAAUAUUAGAGUCUGAACUCCUAAAAGUCGUUAUUUGUUGUGAUGUAAUUGUGUUUUGUUGAAAAUUAGUGUUUCGUUAAUUGCUCCACUGAAUAGAGAAAUCGGAUAUCGACUAAAAAAUCGUUUAUUUCUUCAUGUUCACAAAGUGAAAAAUUGAUUUUCGUGGGUAUCCCACCAAAUGUUUAUAUGUAAAGCCAAAGCUCAAAAAUUUUUUAUUUAGACGAAUGUCUUGCUGGACUCGUCAUAUUUUCUCAAAUCCAUCUUUCUCUCUCUCCGAGAAUUGGCCAGUUCUUUUAACAUCGCUUCCUUGUAGAAGAAGACAAGUUUUUUUUUCAUUUCGCCUUCAAAGAAUGCAUCAUCUCGUUUCACCUCUACGAUCUGGAAUUGACGUUCUCCUAGCCAGAUCAUUAAAUAUGUCCAUUUUCGUUUGGUGAUAUGUAAAUCACCUUGGAGCUCAAUGUACCACGCACUCUUUUUGUUUAUAGUUUUUUCUCCGGAUUUUACUGUCCAAAAUUGCAAGUUUGCCUCAUCUACUUUUUUUUGGUACUCUUUUAAAGGACACUUGAUGGAGAGGAUGCGAUCAACUCCAACAAGUUUGAAAGGCUUGGCACCGAGGAACGGUAGUUCAUCGUCGAUAAACAUACCACUUUCUUGGAGGAUAAGUUCCGGAAAAACUCGCUCGAAACGUUGGAGCGCCUCGCUCUCUUGGACUCGCUGAUGCCGAUUCUGCGCACUGUUCCCGAACUGGGUGUUCGAGUACAUAAUUUCAGCUGCGAAUGGAAGAACACAAAAAAUUAUUAAAUGCGAAGGAUGACUAGUGGUUUUGACGGGUCGACUGGGCCGCUUUUCAUUUUCGAUUUGCAUUAGACUCAUGAACAUUUUGUAUUGUAAUCAAAAGUGUGCGUUUUUAUGAGAAAAAGUUGUUGAAACGAAUAUAAUCUUG